Molecule: long non-coding RNA, 2359 nt
Filed under: Homo sapiens (human)
Lineage: Eukaryota; Metazoa; Chordata; Mammalia; Primates; Hominidae
Description: HSALNT0160465
Source: RNAcentral
UAAGUUAAAAAAUAAAUUGUAAAGAUACUGGGUAUUUAGAAACCAAUUUCAUAAUCCCGUGAAAAUUUUCCUAUAUUUCUCUUAAGCUAGGGAAUGACAACAAUAUUAAAAUUUGCUGGGUUAAUAGUUGUUGUUGUUUUUUUUUUUUUUUUUUUUUUUAAGACGGAGUCUCGCUCUGUAGCCCAGGCUGGAGUGCAGUGGUGCGAUCUCCGCUCACUGCAAGCUCCACCUCCUGGGUUCAUGCCAUUCUCCUGCCUCAGCCUCCCGAGUAGCUGGGACUAUAGGCACCCACCACCACGCCCAGCUAAUUUUUUUGUAUUUUUAGUAGAGACAGGGUUUCACUGUGUUCGCCAGGAUGGUCUCGAUCUUCUGACCUCGUGAUCCGCCCACCUCAGCCUCCCAAAGUGCUGGGAUUACAGGCUGACAUAAAAUUUUAUUGGAAGACAAAAGAAAAGUGGAAUGAGCACACAUAUCAUGUUUUUGGAUGGUAAGAAUAAAAAUUGUGAAAGUGUCAAUUUUUUUCUAAAUCAUCUAUUAAUUCAAUGCAACCUCAUGAAAAAUUACAAAGGGAUUGUUUUAGUCCAUUUUAUGUUGCUAUAACAACACCACAGACUGGGUAAUUUAUAAUAAGCAGAAAUUUGUUUGGCUCAUAGUUCUGGAGGCUGGGAAGUCCAAGAGCAUGGUGCCAGCAUUUGGUGAGAGCCUUGGUGCUGCAUCAUCCCAUGGCAGGAGUUGAUAGGACAAGAGAGAGGGCUAGAGUAAGACAGGGAAGGUGAUCCAAAUGUAUUCUUUUAUCAGGAAUCCACUCUUGAGAUAACUAACCCACUCCUGCAAUAACUUCAUUAAUUCAUUUAUGUAGUGCCCUCCUGACCUAAUCACCUCUUAAAGGUCUCAUCUCUCAACAUUGUUGCACUGGGCUUUAAAUUUCCAACACAUGAACUUUGGGGGGCCACAUUCAGACCAUAACAGGGAUAUUUUAUGAAAUUUGACAAGCUGAUCUGCUAGUUUAUAUAGAAUGGAAAAUACACAGAUUAAUAAAAUAGAUUUAAAUUUCUUUUUUUUCUAGAGACAGGGUCUCACUUUGUCACCCAGGUGGGAGUACAGUGGUAUGAUCAUAGCUCACUGCAGCCUCCAACUCCUGGGCUCAGCCAGUCCUCCUGCUUCAUCCUCCCAAGUAGCUGGAACUAUAGGCAUACACCACCACAUCUGGCUAAUUAAAACUUUUAUUUUUUAUCUUUUUGGUAGAGACGGGGUCUUACUAUGUUACUCAGGCUGGUGUCAAACUUCUGGCCUCAAGUGAUCCUCCUGCCUUAUCCUUCCAAAGAGCUGGGAUUAUAAGCCAACUCACCUGGCCAAUAGAAAAGAUUGGCACCACUUUUAAAAUUUGAAUUUUUUGCCAACAAUAAAAAUUUGAGCUGGGCAGGGUGGCUUACGCCUGUAAUCUCAGCACUUUGGGAGGUCAAGGCAAGUGGAUCACAAGGUCAGGAGUUCGAGACCAGCCUGACCAACAUGGUGAAACCCUGUCUCUAUCAAAAAUACAAAAAUUAGCUGGUGUGGUGGCGCACGCCUGUAAUCCCAGCUACUCGGGAGGCCGAAACAUGAGACUCACUUGAACCCGUGAGGCAGAGGUUGCAGUGAGCCGAGAUCACGCCACCGCACCCCAGCCUGGGUGACAUAGUGAGACUCCAUCGCAAGAAAAAAAAAUUGAGGUUUAAUGCAGUGAUAUAAAUAAAAUAUGAUCAACAGUUCUGGAUAAAAUAUUUGCAAGCUACAUGGUUAAUAGAGAUUAUUAUUCAUAAUAGGUCAGGAGCUCAUACAAGUAAAAAAAGGAAAAAAGGCAGAAAGAUGGAUAAAAAUGGAAACAGUCAAGUGAUUCACUUAAAUCAAUCUACAUGUGAAAACAUUCUUAAUCUCGUUAGUAAAACAGUGAACACAGAUCAAAGUGUGUCCGGAAUUGGUUGUUUCUUGGUCUCACUGACUUCAAGAAUGAAGCCUUGGACCCUCACGGUGAGUGUUACAAGUCUUAAGGUGGCGCGUCUGGAGUUUGUUCCUUCUGACGUUCGGAUGUGUUCGGAGUUUCUUCCUUCUGGUGGGUUCGUGGUCUCGCUGGCUCAGGAGUGAAGCUGCAGACCUUCCCGGUGAGUGUUACAGCUUUUAAGGCGGCAUAUCUGCAGUUGUUCGUUCCUCCUGGUGGGCUCAUGGUCUCGCUGGCUUCAGGAGUGAAGCUGCAGAUCUUCCUGGUGAGUGUUACAGCUCAUAAAAGUAGCGUGGACCCAAAGAGUGAGCAGUAGCAAGAUUUAACUGCAAAGAGAAAAGAACAAAACCUCCACAGUGUGGAAGAGGGCCCAAGCGGGUUGCC